AGAACGAACGCUGGCGGCAGGCCUAAUACAUGCAAGUCGAACGCACUCUUCGGAGUGAGUGGCAGACGGGUGAGUAACGCGCGGGAACCUUCCCAAUGGUACGGAAUAACUCCGGGAAACCGGUGCUAAUACCGUAUAAGCCCCUCGGGGGAAAGAUUUAUCGCCAUUGGAUGGGCCCGCGUCGGAUUAGCUAGUUGGUAAGGUAAUGGCUUACCAAGGCUACGAUCCGUAGCUGGUCUGAGAGGAUGAUCAGCCACACUGGGACUGAGACACGGCCCAGACUCCUACGGGAGGCAGCAGUAGGGAAUCUUGGACAAUGGGCGAAAGCCUGAUCCAGCCAUGCCGCGUGAGUGAAGAAGGCCUUAGGGUUGUAAAGCUCUUUUGGCGGGGACGAUAAUGACGGUACCCGCAGAAUAAGCCCGGCUAACUUCGUGCCAGCAGCCGC
This 445-nucleotide ribosomal RNA is filed under the name uncultured bacterium. RNAcentral's name for it is "SSU rRNA". It matches the Rfam family "Bacterial small subunit ribosomal RNA", at positions 26 to 518 of the family's 1533-position model. The record is from RNAcentral.